AAAAGCUUACCCCAAUGUGAAUGCCGCAACGAAAACACGCCGCUCGAACGGGCGCACGAAAGCUCGAUCCGUUGCCUCCAACGCGUUCGCAGACUCGAUCUCCACCAACCCUCCAAUUUUUAAAGAGAGAUAUAGAGAGAUGAGAGAGAUAUUUAGAGAGAGAAAGGGGAGUUUCUCUUCCCCAUCCACGCGUGCGUGUGUGUGGGUGUGUCGGCCAU
Molecule: long non-coding RNA, 218 nt
Filed under: Ananas comosus (pineapple)
Lineage: Eukaryota; Viridiplantae; Streptophyta; Magnoliopsida; Poales; Bromeliaceae
Description: long non-coding RNA (ACOM_LNC038357)
Source: RNAcentral